RNAcentral lists this ribosomal RNA (492 nucleotides) under uncultured bacterium. RNAcentral describes it as "partial 16S ribosomal RNA". It matches the Rfam family "Bacterial small subunit ribosomal RNA", at positions 29 to 507 of the family's 1533-position model. The record is from RNAcentral.
AGUGAACGCUGGCGGUAGGCCUAACACAUGCAAGUCGAACGGCAGCACAGUAAGAGCUUGCUCUUACGGGUGGCGAGUGGCGGACGGGUGAGGAAUACAUCGGAAUCUACUUUUUCGUGGGGGAUAACGUAGGGAAACUUACGCUAAUACCGCAUACGACCUACGGGUGAAAGCAGGGGAUCUUCGGACCUUGCGCGAUUGAAUGAGCCGAUGUCGGAUUAGCUAGUUGGCGGGGUAAAGGCCCACCAAGGCGACGAUCCGUAGCUGGUCUGAGAGGCUGAUCAGCCACACGGGAACUGAGACACGGUCCAGACUCCUACGGGAGGCAGCAGUGGGGAAUAUUGGACAAUGGGCGCAAGCCUGAUCCAGCCAUACCGCGUGGGUGAAGAAGGCCUUCGGGUUGUAAAGCCCUUUUGUUGGGAAAGAAAAGCAGCAGGUUAAUACCCCGCUGUUCUGACGGUACCCAAAGAAUAAGCACCGGCUAACUUCGUG